RNAcentral lists this ribosomal RNA (539 nucleotides) under Delftia tsuruhatensis. RNAcentral describes it as "bacterial SSU rRNA". It matches the Rfam family "Bacterial small subunit ribosomal RNA", at positions 343 to 877 of the family's 1533-position model. The record is from RNAcentral. Lineage: Bacteria; Pseudomonadati; Pseudomonadota; Betaproteobacteria; Burkholderiales; Comamonadaceae.
GGGGGGCACAGUGGGGAAUUUUGGACAAUGGGCGAAAGCCUGAUCCAGCAAUGCCGCGUGCAGGAUGAAGGCCUUCGGGUUGUAAACUGCUUUUGUACGGAACGAAAAAGCUCCUUCUAAUACAGGGGGCCCAUGACGGUACCGUAAGAAUAAGCACCGGCUAACUACGUGCCAGCAGCCGCGGUAAUACGUAGGGUGCGAGCGUUAAUCGGAAUUACUGGGCGUAAAGCGUGCGCAGGCGGUUAUGUAAGACAGAUGUGAAAUCCCCGGGCUCAACCUGGGAACUGCAUUUGUGACUGCAUGGCUAGAGUACGGUAGAGGGGGAUGGAAUUCCGCGUGUAGCAGUGAAAUGCGUAGAUAUGCGGAGGAACACCGAUGGCGAAGGCAAUCCCCUGGACCUGUACUGACGCUCAUGCACGAAAGCGUGGGGAGCAAACAGGAUUAGAUACCCUGGUAGUCCACGCCCUAAACGAUGUCAACUGGUUGUUGGGAAUUAGUUUUCUCAGUAACGAAGCUAACGCGUGAAGUGACCGCCUGGG